GCUUCAUGUAACACUUUCCUUGUUAAACUCCAAGCACUACGUAUCAUUGCUUGCUGUUCUCACUCAACCCUCAGCACCAGCCUCAGCAUCUCGACCCCGACAAGCUCCAGGACCACUUCAACAAUUUCUAUGAAGAUCUCUUUCAGGAGCUCAGCAAGUUGGAAAUGUAUAUGUUCAGUAAAAAGAGGAAGAUCAUGCCCCCAAUGCUCUGAUGAACCUCACUGGAAGAUUUUUUCAGGUACUCAAUUCCCCCCUUUUCUCAUCCAAUUAUGGUUUUUCUCCAUUUUUCCCUUCAAUACUGAGUCCCUGAUUAUGUGAGCUACUGCUUUCAUUAUUCAUGGUUUGGUUCUAAUCCUGUUAUCUUGUGAAUUGUUACAGCUGUAAACUAGUUGGUGGGAUGUUUGUGUUUAUGAUAAGAAAGCCAUUUUCUAGCUUAAAAAAGCCAUUUUUCAAUGUGGGUGUGUUUGUAAUUUGUAAUUUUCUUUGUGUAAGCAAAGUUAAUAAUUUAAUAUUACUGGUUUCAGGCCAAUAUAUUGGAGAUGCUCAAAUGGUUUGACAUUGAGUCAUUUUUAAUUACCUUAUUGUUUGCUGUUAGUAGUACUGAUUUGUUAGUUAGUUUGUGGACAGUCAAGGAAAUGAUCUUAGAAAGAAGACAAUGAACUCUGUCUUCUGGAACUCAAACAUGAUUCAAUGUCUUGAUUACUAGCUCAGAGAUAACACGUCUGAGUACUAUAGCUGGUAAUCAAGUGCCUAGCUAUUUUGUGUGGGAAGUCCUUUUUACUAUGUCCAUCAUGGGAUUGGGACUCUUGCUUUUUGCAAU
This is a long non-coding RNA of Lotus japonicus, 820 nucleotides long. RefSeq lists it as uncharacterized. The transcript is spliced from 3 exons. NCBI's taxonomy places the organism in Eukaryota, Viridiplantae, Streptophyta, Magnoliopsida, Fabales, Fabaceae. The record is from RefSeq and is a predicted model, not a curated record.